RNAcentral lists this ribosomal RNA (246 nucleotides) under uncultured bacterium. Its description in RNAcentral is "partial small subunit ribosomal RNA". It matches the Rfam family "Bacterial small subunit ribosomal RNA", at positions 26 to 286 of the family's 1533-position model. The record is from RNAcentral.
AGAAUCAACGCUGGCGGCGUGCCUAACACAUGCAAGUCGAACGAGAAAGUGGAGCAAUCCAUGAGUAAAGUGGCGCACGGGUGAGUAACACGUGACUAACCUACCUUUUAGUGGGGGAUAACCUAGGGAAACCUGGGCUAAUACCGCAUAACACUUACGAGUCAAAGCAGCAAUGCGCUGAAAGAGGGGGUCGCGGCCGAUUAGCUAGUUGGCGGGGUAAUGGCCCACCAAGGCAGUGAUCGGUAU